RNAcentral lists this ribosomal RNA (451 nucleotides) under uncultured bacterium. RNAcentral describes it as "bacterial SSU rRNA". It matches the Rfam family "Bacterial small subunit ribosomal RNA", at positions 354 to 796 of the family's 1533-position model. The record is from RNAcentral.
GUGGGGAAUAUUGGACAAUGGGGGGAACCCUGAUCCAGCCAUGCCGCGUGUGUGAAGAAGGCCUUUUGGUUGUAAAGCACUUUAAGCGAGGAGGAGGCUACCGAGAUUAAUACUCUUGGAUAGUGGACGUUACUCGCAGAAUAAGCACCGGCUAACUCUGUGCCAGCAGCCGCGGUAAUACAGAGGGUGCAAGCGUUAAUCGGAUUUACUGGGCGUAAAGCGCGCGUAGGUGGCCAAUUAAGUCAAAUGUGAAAUCCCCGAGCUUAACUUGGGAAUUGCAGUCGAUACUGGUUGGCUAGAGUAUGGGAGAGGAUGGUAGAAUUCCAGGUGUAGCGGUGAAAUGCGUAGAGAUCUGGAGGAAUACCGAUGGCGAAGGCAGCCAUCUGGCCUAAUACUGACACUGAGGUGCGAAAGCAUGGGGAGCAAACAGGAUUAGAUACCCUGGUAGUCC